RNAcentral lists this long non-coding RNA (210 nucleotides) under Vitis vinifera (wine grape). Its description in RNAcentral is "long non-coding RNA (VVIN_LNC004744)". The record is from RNAcentral. Lineage: Eukaryota; Viridiplantae; Streptophyta; Magnoliopsida; Vitales; Vitaceae.
UGCAUUACCAGCCAUACAAACAGCCUGAGCUAUGAUCUCCUGUAGUUCAGUGGAGGAGAGGUUGAUAGUAGAUCCAGAAGACUAGGACUCAACUGAGGUGGAAGCCGUUGGCGGAGUAGGCUCAGUAUUAGCAACAACAGCAGUAGAUUUGUUACGACAGUAACAAGUCUCAAUGGUGUGGCCAGGACGCUUGCAAUAGUUGCAGAACUU